Molecule: small nucleolar RNA, 133 nt
Organism: Pteronotus mesoamericanus
Lineage: Eukaryota; Metazoa; Chordata; Mammalia; Chiroptera; Mormoopidae
Product: small nucleolar RNA SNORA42/SNORA80 family
Exons: 1
Source: RefSeq, a predicted model, not a curated record
GCGAGGACAUGAUUCACGGCAGGCCUGUCCCCCUGGGUCUCCGAUAGUGUCCCAUGCCAGAGCAAACCGUGGCCUGGAGCCACUGCCUGGCCUCUGUCCAUAGGCUGCCGGCACUGAAGCGGGUUGCACAGUG